This 595-nucleotide ribosomal RNA is filed under the name uncultured eukaryote. RNAcentral describes it as "bacterial SSU rRNA". It matches the Rfam family "Eukaryotic small subunit ribosomal RNA", at positions 587 to 1215 of the family's 1831-position model. The record is from RNAcentral.
CCMGCUCCAAUAGCGUAUAUUAAAGUUGUUGCAGUUAAAAAGCUCGUAGUUGAACCUUGGGCAAGGCGCGCACGGUCCACCGCAAGGCGCGACUGUGGCGCUGCGCCUCUUUCUGGGGGACUCGGUGCCUCGGUGCCGAGGGAACCCGUGUUACUGUGAAGAAAUUAGAGUGUUUAAAGCAGGCUAUCGCUUGAAUACAUCAGCAUGGAAUAACAAGUUGGACUCGGGUUCUACUUGUUGGUUUGGGGGCCAGAGUAAUGAUUAAUAGGGCCAGUUGGGGGCAUUAGUAUUCAGUAGUCAGAGGUGAAAUUCUUGGAUUUACUGAAGACUAACUAGUGCGAAAGCAUUUGCCAAGGAUGUUUUCAUUAAUCAAGAACGAAAGUUAGGGGAUCGAAGACGAUCAGAUACCGUCGUAGUCUUAACUAUAAACGAUGCCGACUAAGGAUCAGCAGACGUCGAUUUCGACUCUGUUGGCACUUUGUGAGAAAUCAAAGUUUUUGGGUUCUGGGGGGAGUAUGGUCGCAAGGCUGAAACUUAAAGGAAUUGACGGAAGGGCACCACCAGGAGUGGAGCCUGCGGCUUAAUUCGACUCAAC